AAAGUCCUGAUGUGUUUGUUGUACACCUAGUUUUGACCGAACAUUUUUUUUACUUGGGAGUUCGAUGUUUCCGAAUGGAGCAAAUGCCUCUUAUCACUCGUGUGCUCAGGAGGACUUGCAAAGUUUGGAACAGAACACCCACCUGCCGAGAGCGGGAUCAAAACGAAGGAAUACGACAACGGCACAAUCGGGACUUUU
RNAcentral lists this non-coding RNA (198 nucleotides) under Bacillus licheniformis. Its description in RNAcentral is "6S RNA". It matches the Rfam family "6S / SsrS RNA". Rfam says of the family: E. coli 6S RNA was the first non coding RNA to be sequenced, but its function was unknown until recently. It consists of 184 nucleotides that fold into an extended hairpin structure with a large single-stranded internal bulge. The record is from RNAcentral. Lineage: Bacteria; Bacillati; Bacillota; Bacilli; Caryophanales; Bacillaceae.